AGCCCCACCCAUCAGCCCCGGUUACAGCCCAAGCGAGCCCGCGCUCCUCAGGACCUCUGUCUCCUCCAAAACGGGGCGGGACCUGUCCUCCAAAGCCCCAAGUGACCUAUUGGACACUCCUCGGGUCACGGUUCACUUUAGCUACAACCAACAGGGACGCUUCGUUGCCUGCUUCUUCGCCUGCAGUGACCAUAAUUAUACCUGUUGAACACUGCUUAAGUCACAAGCUAACUCAGCCACUGCCCGGCUGGACUCCUGCUCCCCCAAAUCCGGGAUCCAGUCUGAUCUCAGCAGUCUGAUGUAACACCCUGGAGCCAGCACAGUUUAUAUUAAUAAUCUACUGCGACCAGCACCUGCCUGGACGCUUGUUUCCCAAACCUAACCUCACCCCAACAACCCAGGGUAUAUGAUUCUCACAACCUGAAUCACAAUUCAUCUCAGCCACAACCGACCUCGAUGCUCAUGUCCUAAAACCCAGUGCCCAGCGUAUCCAAAAAUCAAACACACCAUUGUGGAGAGCCUCUUAUUCAUUCCAGAUAAAUACGUGUUGUACCCCUACUAUGUGCCAUGCACUGUGCCAGGCAGUGAGGAUAAAGUGAUGAACAGUACAGCAAGAUCCCUGCCCUGGCAGAGCUGCUACUCCAGUUGGGGACACAAUACAAUGCAAUACACAAAGUGGGAAGACAAUUUCAGACACUGCUUCUGGUGGAUCCAGAUGUUCCUUGGCUCAUGGCCACAUCCCUUCAGUACCUGUCUCCAUCUUCAUAAGAGCUUCGUGUGUGUGUGUGUGUGUGUGUGUGUGUGUGUGUGUGUGUGUGUGUGCGUGCGUGUGAAAUCUUCCCUCAUGUGUCACCUGUGAAAUCAGGACAGCAGCGACAGUGAUUCCCUCCCAGGGCUGGUGUGAGGUUUCAAUGGGAUAAUGCAAGUCGGGCAGUUGGCAGGCAGGCAGCCCUCGAUGAAUGGAGCGGCUGUUAUGAAUCUAUUUAUUAAGUUGUUUCUACCCAGGACUGGCAAGUGUGGGAGUAACUGAUUCCAGUGACGUCAUCUCUCCAGUUGGCAUGUUUUCCGCAGGAUUGAAUGUGCCAAAUGGGCUUUGUUGAGCCAACUCCUCUGGCAGCUAAGAGCCUCCAUGCCAACCUGCCUGCUGUGUCGCUUGCCCCCAAUGAACAUGAAGGCACACCCCCCCAGCAGGCCCUUGCUGCCAUCCCAGGAAACAGCCAAGCAGGUUGCAGCCAAAUAUUUGCACAUUUUUGCAGUGACUGGAUGAAAACAGUACUUUGGUCAUUUAAGCAGCACAGAGUGGACAAGAGGAGGAAAUACCACCCCAUCCUUGUGUCCACAGGGGCAGCAGGCUUGGGAGUCUCACGUGGAAAAAAUGUCCCAAGGAAACCUGACCAUGUCACCAUCCCAAGACAGUGUCACGGCACAGUGCCAUUGUCAUUAAACUGGAGAAAGAUACAAAUGAAGAAAGCCGGCCUUUUUCAUUCCAUUCGGUUCCACUGUCACCACUGGAGCCUCUCUCUUAGACCAGGUUUUGCCGGGCAAUGUGGGGUCACAGGUGGCACUUGCUCAAGGAGCUCGCAGCAAGGAAUCACGUACUGCCUCCCAGCACCCAAAAACGAGGACACGAGGGAGCAGAUCUGAGCACAGACUCUGGAGUCUGACAGACAGCCUUGGGAUCAAACUCUGGCUCUCCUGCUCCUAGCUGUGUGACCUUGGGCAAAUGAUAGAACCUCUCUGAGCCUUAGCACCUCAUUGGUAAAAUGGGGACCCUUAGAACACCUCCUUCAAAGCAUCCAGGAGGAUAUUCAAGGAGACAGAACGUUUGGGAUUCUACCUGGGACAAGGAUUGGCACGAAACCUAAGUCACAGGAAGAUGCUGAAGAUGAGGACGCUGACGAUGACAGAAAUGUCCCCCCUAGCGCCCAGUAAUUCUGGGUGAAAGCAGGGAAUUCCGUAGAGUAGGAGGCACCCAGGCUGACCUGGCAGGGGACACGAGAUCUCCUCCUAACUCUGUCAUCGACUGGUUUCAAGACCCUAGUUCUUGGUUUGGGCCUCAGUUUCCCCAUCUGUUAAGUAAAUGGGUCUGGCAGGAUGAAUUCUGAAGAUGUGUGUAACCUUCUGACUCCAGUGGUGGUCUUGGGGGUCAUGGUCCCUUCCCCUGCCACCCUCGACAGUUGGCCUUUCUCCACCACCCCGGCUAGUAGUAACCUGAGCACUUCUCGAUCGGACGAGGGUGGAGUAGAAGGGAGCCCAAGGCGACAGGGCCUAGUGGGGACGCUUUCCUCGGGGCAGAAAGGCUCUUGGAAGCCAGUAUAUGAUCCUGGGAACAUCCCAGCUGCUUGCUCAACAGGGACUGCUCUUCACGCUAAGGAACCGGUUGGUCCUGGUUCAUUGUCCUGGCUCUGUGACAAGCCUGUCCCGGAGAGGCACGGUCCCCAAGCCACUCCCCUGCACCCCCACUAUGAGGGCACUUAGGGUAGUACCCCACUGACCAUAGUUGCAUUCAUUCAUUCACUAAAUAUUUAUUAAGCACCUACUGUGUACCAAAGGGUACAGAAGAGGCUGAGACACAUAGCAGGAGAUGAGACAGCAAAGUCCCUGUUCUCAUGAAGUUCACGGACUACUGGGGGGAGGUGUUAAUAUUUAAAAAUUAUUUAGUUAAUGCUGCAAUGAAUGCUAUGGAAGAAAAAUACAGCGUGUUCUGGGACCAGGUGACUUGAUCUAGUCAGAGGGGAUCGGGGAGGGCUUCUCAGAGGAAGGGGCGUUUACACCGGGACCUGAAGUCUGAGUAGAGUUGGCAGAGGGGAAGGGAACAGCACGGCAGAACUGGUGGUGGCGAGAGUUAAAGGAGAGGCCAGUGUGGCUGGGGAGGUUGGCGUGGGCCAGGCUGGGCCAGGGCCAGUGGGUCGUUCAUGGUGUGGGCUUCGUGCUGAGGGAAAUGGGUAGCCAUGGAAGGUUCAAGGGUGAGCAGAGGAUGGGUUGGUCAGAUGGGUCAGCCCAGAAGAAGGGAGCCAGCGUGGACAUUGGGAUGGGGACCCUGAUUCCCUAUGAAGGCCAUGAGAGUCCUCUGCUCAAACAUGCUGAGCCUCAGUUUCCCCAUCUGAAAAGUGGGGUUACAGUUAUUCAUACCCCCUAGAGACACUUGCAAGGAUGAAGGGAGGUCACACGGUCACACGGGCACAGGACAAUCAGUGUUUGACACCUGCUGAGCAGGUGUUGGCCGAGUCUCCUGUUCUCUGUGACAUCACUUUCCAGCUCCACGCUCUGAGGCCACCAGCUGCUUUCACUAGUCACACUGGCUCUGCCACUUCCCUCCUCCGGGCGCGCCCUCCCCCUCUCCAGGCCUCGGUUCUCCCUCUAUAAAGUGAAGGAUUUAUAGAGAGGUAAGGCGUCCAACAGGAGGUGCCGGCCACGUACCCAGAGAAGGCCACCAAGGGCAGGCUUCCCCGCACAGGUCUCUUUCAGG
Non-coding RNA from Microcebus murinus (gray mouse lemur), 3469 nucleotides. The record is from RefSeq and is a predicted model, not a curated record. Lineage: Eukaryota; Metazoa; Chordata; Mammalia; Primates; Cheirogaleidae.